This 433-nucleotide ribosomal RNA is filed under the name uncultured bacterium. Its description in RNAcentral is "partial 16S ribosomal RNA". It matches the Rfam family "Bacterial small subunit ribosomal RNA", at positions 29 to 507 of the family's 1533-position model. The record is from RNAcentral.
AGCGAACGCUGGCGGCAGGCUUAACACAUGCAAGUCGAGCGGACCUUUCGGGGUCAGCGGCGGACGGGUGAGUAACGCGUGGGAACGUGCCUUCCGGUUCGGAAUAACCCUGGGAAACUAGGGCUAAUACCGGAUACGCCCUUAUGGGGAAAGGUUUACUGCCGGAAGAUCGGCCCGCGUCUGAUUAGCUAGUUGGUGGGGUAACGGCCUACCAAGGCGACGAUCAGUAGCUGGUCUGAGAGGAUGAUCAGCCACACUGGGACUGAGACACGGCCCAGACUCCUACGGGAGGCAGCAGUGGGGAAUAUUGGACAAUGGGCGCAAGCAUGAGCCAGCCAUGCCGCGUGAGUGGUGAAGGACUUAGGGUUGUAAAGCUCUUUUAUCCGGGACGAUAAUGACGGUACCGGAGGAAUAAGCCCCGGCUAACUUCGUG